AGUGCGAAAAAAGCAUGCUGAUCCUCUUCGGAGGUGACGCUUGUGGAACGAGCGGCGGACGGGUGAGUAACACGUGGGCAACCUGCCUGUAAGACUGGGAUAACCCCGGGAAACCGGGGCUAAUACCGGAUAAUACUUUUCAUCACCUGAUGAAAAGUUGAAAGGUGGCUUUUAGCUACCACUUACAGAUGGGCCCGCGGCGCAUUAGCUAGUUGGUGAGGUAACGGCUCACCAAGGCAACGAUGCGUAGCCGACCUGAGAGGGUGAUCGGCCACACUGGGACUGAGACACGGCCCAGACUCCUACGGGAGGCAGCAGUAGGGAAUCUUCCGCAAUGGACGAAAGUCUGACGGAGCAACGCCGCGUGAGUGAUGAAGGUUUUCGGAUCGUAAAGCUCUGUUGUUAGGGAAGAACAAGUGCCGUUCGAAUAGGGCGGCACCUUGACGGUACCUAACCAGAAAGCCCCGGCUAACUACGUGCCAGCAGCCGCGGUAAUACGUAGGGGGCAAGCGUUGUCCGGAAUUAUUGGGCGUAAAGCGCGCGCAGGCGGUCCUUUAAGUCUGAUGUGAAAGCCCACGGCUCAACCGUGGAGGGUCAUUGGAAACUGGAGGACUUGAGUACAGAAGAGGAGAGUGGAAUUCCACGUGUAGCGGUGAAAUGCGUAGAGAUGUGGAGGAACACCAGUGGCGAAGGCGACUCUCUGGUCUGUAACUGACGCUGAGGCGCGAAAGCGUGGGGAGCGAACAGGAUUAGAUACCCUGGUAGUCCACGCCGUAAACGAUGAGUGCUAGGUGUU
Molecule: ribosomal RNA, 796 nt
Filed under: Bacillus sp. RSK CAS10
Lineage: Bacteria; Bacillati; Bacillota; Bacilli; Caryophanales; Bacillaceae
Description: bacterial SSU rRNA
Rfam family: Bacterial small subunit ribosomal RNA
Source: RNAcentral